This 913-nucleotide ribosomal RNA is filed under the name uncultured bacterium. RNAcentral describes it as "bacterial SSU rRNA". It matches the Rfam family "Bacterial small subunit ribosomal RNA", at positions 8 to 917 of the family's 1533-position model. The record is from RNAcentral.
AGAGUUUGAUCCUGGCUCAGAUUGAACGCUGGCGGCAGGCCUAACACAUGCAAGUCGAGCGGUAACAGAGAGUAGCUUGCUACUUUGCUGACGAGCGGCGGACGGGUGAGUAAUGCUUGGGAACACGCCUUGAGGUGGGGGACAACAGUUGGAAACGACUGCUAAUACCGCAUAAUGUCUACGGACCAAAGGGGGCUUCGGCUCUCGCCUUUAGAUUGGCCCAAGUGGGAUUAGCUAGUUGGUGAGGUAAUGGCUCACCAAGGCGACGAUCCCUAGCUGGUUUGAGAGGAUGAUCAGCCACACUGGGACUGAGACACGGCCCAGACUCCUACGGGAGGCAGCAGUGGGGAAUAUUGCACAAUGGGCGCAAGCCUGAUGCAGCCAUGCCGCGUGUGUGAAGAAGGCCUUCGGGUUGUAAAGCACUUUCAGUCAGGAGGAAAGGUUAACGGUUAAUACCCGCUAGCUGUGACGUUACUGACAGAAGAAGCACCGGCUAACUCCGUGCCAGCAGCCGCGGUAAUACGGAGGGUGCGAGCGUUAAUCGGAAUUACUGGGCGUAAAGCGUACGCAGGCGGUUUGUUAAGCGAGAUGUGAAAGCCCCGGGCUCAACCUGGGAACUGCAUUUCGAACUGGCAAACUAGAGUGUGAUAGAGGGUGGUAGAAUUUCAGGUGUAGCGGUGAAAUGCGUAGAGAUCUGAGGGAAUACCGAUGGCGAAGGCAGCCACCUGGGUCAACACUGACGCUCAUGUACGAAAGCGUGGGGAGCAAACGGGAUUAGAUACCCCGGUAGUCCACGCCGUAAACGAUGUCUACUAGAAGCUCGGAGCCUCGGUUCUGUUUUUCAAAGCUAACGCAUUAAGUAGACCGCCUGGGGAGUACGGCCGCAAGGUUAAAACUCAAAGGAAUUGACGGG